Molecule: ribosomal RNA, 467 nt
Filed under: uncultured bacterium
Lineage: Bacteria
Description: partial 16S ribosomal RNA
Rfam family: Bacterial small subunit ribosomal RNA
Source: RNAcentral
GACGAACGCUGGCGGUGUGCUUAACACAUGCAAGUCGAACGGAAAGGCCCUGCUUUUGUGGGGUGCUCGAGUGGCGAACGGGUGAGUAACACGUGAGUAACCUGCCCUUGACUUUGGGAUAACUUCAGGAAACUGGGGCUAAUACCGGAUAGGAGCUCCUGCUGCAUGGUGGGGGUUGGAAAGUUUCGGCGGUUGGGGAUGGACUCGCGGCUUAUCAGCUUGUUGGUGGGGUAGUGGCUUACCAAGGCUUUGGCGGGUAGCCGGCCUGAGAGGGUGACCGGCCACAUUGGGACUGAGAUACGGCCCAGACUCCUACGGGAGGCAGCAGUGGGGAAUAUUGCACAAUGGGCGGAAGCCUGAUGCAGCAACGCCGCGUGCGGGAUGACGGCCUUCGGGUUGUAAACCGCUUUCGCCUGUGACGAAGCGUGAGUGACGGUAAUGGGUAAAGAAGCACCGGCUAACUACGU